Molecule: long non-coding RNA, 2233 nt
Organism: Felis catus (domestic cat)
Lineage: Eukaryota; Metazoa; Chordata; Mammalia; Carnivora; Felidae
Exons: 4
Source: RefSeq, a predicted model, not a curated record
GCAAGAUCAUGACCUUGAGCUGAAAUCAGACACUUAACCGACUGAGCCACCCAGGCGCCCGGAAAGUGCUGGAAGACCAAAGGGAGAGGGUAAACCAAACCAAAGGGCUACGUGGGAUUCAAGAAACAGAAGGAAGUCUCCAGGAUGAUGAGACCAGUCUCAGAGAAAUGUUGAUCCAGAGAGUAAUGAUAGUGAAGGCAUGAGACUUUCCCCUGGAGCCUAUGAAAUGCGUGAAGAUACUGUGGAAGGAACUGAGGUUCUGUAUGCUGAGCUCUUCAAUCACAUGCACACACUUUAAAGAAAUAUCAUGCCAGAGAGGAGGCAGUUCAUACAGGAAGAAAUCAGUUUACAUAGAUGAGCGAAGGUGCUCCUCGGAGAAGAAGCACUGAAUAAAAGAUGGGGCACGCCAUCUCACUGCGGAGAAGGGAGAAAAUGACGAACCCUUUGGGACAGAAUGUACUCCUCUAGGGAAAAUGAUAAGUUAGCGAGUAGUAAACAGUAGCCUCGUUCCCUGAAAGAUGCUACAGGUGAGCAUUACCACUAACCAACCAUAAAGAAUUUCUUCUGGGAUUUUAAGAUUGGGUUUUUAUAUAGUUUGGUAUGAUUUAGUUAUUUCCGCCAGAAGGACAGUGUGCUUUAAUCAGACAAUUUUAUUCCCUCAUGGAAGACCCUAAAGCCAAGAUAAAGGUCUGUCCCAAAGCCUUGAUAAAAAUGCAGUAUUUCCUCAUAAACGGACCUGGGCAAUAUGUAGCAAGGGACUUAAAAAUCAUCCUUAUCCUUUUACACAGUAAUCCUAAUUCCAGAAAUCUGCCCUAAGGAAAUAACCAAAUUUUGGUCAAAGAUUUUGAUUCAAGGAAGUUCAUUUCAGUGUUAUUUAUAAUAGAGAAAAAGUUGGGAGCAUCAUAUAUGUUCAAUAGGAAAGGAAUGAUUAACUAAAUUGUGGUAUAUUCACAUGUGGGAAUUUUGGACAGCCAUUACAAAAUCCAAUUUUCAAGAAUUAUUUAAUGACUUUGGAAAUGUUCUCACUCUAAUGUUAAGUAAUGAAAGCAGGACACUAGUGGGAAUACAAAAUGUACAACCUCUAUGGAGGGAAAUUUGGCAAUCUCUACUAUAAUUUCAUGCACAUUAACCCUUUGACCCAGCAAUUCUAUUUCCAGGAACCUAUCCCAAAGAUAUACUGGCAAAUACACAAAGUGGUAUAUGUGCACCAUUACUCACUGUAACAUUAUUCAUAAUAGCAAGAAUAGGAAUAACCCGAAUGCCCAUCGUCAGGUGAUUGGGGUAGAUUAUCAGAGGUACAAAAUGGAACAUACACAGCUAUAAAGGGAAUAAGGAAGAACUUUAUGUUCAGAAUAUUUGGUUAAGAAAAAAAAAUCAAGAUACAGACCAAUUUAUACGAUAUGCCACCUUUUGUGUGUGUAAACCAAAUUCACUUAUUUUAUGGUGUUAGAAAGAACAAACAAAAAACCUUAUGAGUUCACCUGUGGGGCAUGUGACAGUUGGUCUCUAUAUAAUGCCUGUCACUUACUUCUGUUGAGUGAGUCUCAACCGGGGAUAGUUUUGCCCCCCAGGCAACAUUUGGCAAUGUCUGAAGACAAAUUGGGGCUGUUACAAUGGGGAGUCAUGCUACCGGCAUCUAGUGAGGAAACCCCAGGGGUGCUGGGGGCCUCAUACAAUGCACAGGGCGGCGCCCUCAGCCAACAGUUAUGUCAGUAACUGGCCCAAAAUGUCAAUAGCGCUGACAUUGAGACAUCCCAAAUUAGCACUUCCAUCCUGGGCCACGUGUGUACCAUUUUCCUCAUCAAAAUGUUGCUGUCCUGAGAGUAUUGGUAUUAUUACAGAGAAACUCUGUUACACACACAAAUACAAAAUAGAUCUAUCUACAUAUUAGGAUUAGAUGAAUAUUAAUUGUAUUAAUGUUAAGAACUGUGAUUUUCCCAAUUAGAGAAAAGCUAUGGCUAUAAAAUCAAAAAUUUCACUAAAACUCUUGUAAUCUCACAUUUGAAUGAGCGAUACUGGUAUGGAUUCAUUAUUUGCCCCUUUUUAAACCUGUGUAUUUCCCUAGUUCUGCCCAGUCAAAAGGCCAAGAAGCAAUGAUAACCCAGUUAGCAAGGAGCACCCCUAAUUGUGAGGUUUCAGUCUCGAAAUAUUAUUUUUCCCAUUAAAGGAUAUGAUGAGCACAAUUCAGAAAAUUUAGACAUAUUACAGGACAGUCUCCCUGGCAGCAAUCAAG